GGGCCCGCACAAGCGGUGGAGCAUGUGGUUUAAUUCGAUGAUACGCGAGGAACCUUACCAGGGCUUAAAUGUAAGUUGCAUGGAUCAGAGAUGAUCCUUUCUUCGGACCACUUACAAGGUGCUGCAUGGUUGUCGUCAGCUCGUGCCGUGAGGUGUCAGGUUAAGUCCUAUAACGAGCGCAACCCCUAUCGUUAGUUGCCAGCAAGUAAAGUUGGGUACUCUAGCGAGACUGCCGGUGCAAACCGAGAGGAAGGUGGGGAUGACGUCAAAUCAUCACGGCCCUUACGUCCUGGGCUACACACGUGCUACAAUGGCCGGUACAGAGAGCAGCCACCACGCGAGUGGGAGCGAAUCUUCAAAACCGGUCUCAGUUCGGAUCGCAGUCUGCAACUCGACUGCGUGAAGCUGGAAUC
Molecule: ribosomal RNA, 413 nt
Filed under: uncultured bacterium
Lineage: Bacteria
Description: bacterial SSU rRNA
Rfam family: Bacterial small subunit ribosomal RNA
Source: RNAcentral